RNAcentral lists this ribosomal RNA (818 nucleotides) under uncultured eukaryote. RNAcentral's name for it is "SSU rRNA". It matches the Rfam family "Eukaryotic small subunit ribosomal RNA", at positions 627 to 1477 of the family's 1831-position model. The record is from RNAcentral.
CUCGUAGUUGGAUCUGCGUGUUCAGCAUCCGGUGCGGUCUUUGGCCGCUACUGGAAUGCGACACAUCGAAUGCCGGUUUGCCGUUGAUGCUCUUCAUCGGGUGUCAGCGGUGGCUGGUGAGUUUACUUUGAACAAAUUAGAGUGCUCAACGCAGGCGUUUCGCUUGUAUAUUUCUGCAUGGAAUAAUAGAAUAGGACCUCGGUUCUAUUUUGUUGGUUUUCGGAAGUGAGGUAAUGAUUAAGAGGGACUGACGGGGGCAUUCGUACUGCGACGUGAGAGGUGAAAUUCUUGGAUCGUCGCAAGACGCACUACUGCGAAGGCAUUUGCCAAGAAUGUUUUCAUUAAUCAAGAACGAAAGUAACGGGUUCGAAGGCGAUCAGAUACCGCCCUAGUUGUUACCGUAAACCAUAUUGACUGGGAGUAUGUCGGCGUUUGCAAGAACCCGAUAUGAACCCGACGGGAAACCUCAAGUUCAAUUACUGGGGGAGUACGAUUGCAAAGUCGAAACUUAAAGGAAUUGACGGAAGGGCACCACCAGGGGUGGAGCCUGCGGCUUAAUUUGACUCAACACGGGGAAACUCACCCGGCCCGGACACCGGAAGGAUUGACAGAUUGAGAGCUCUUUCUUGAUUCGGUGGGUGGUGGUGCAUGGCCGUUCUUAGUUGGUGGAGUGAUUUGUCUGGUUAAUUCCGAUAACGAACGAGACUCUGGCCUACUAAAUAGUCGUCGGAUCGCUUCAGUCCGACUGACUUCUUAGAGGGACAAGCAGUGCUUAGCUGCAUGAAAAAGAGCAAUAACAGGUCUGUGAUGCCCUUAGA